Quercus robur (English oak) is the source of this 3838-nucleotide RNA transcript. It is a transcript of the gene named TMV resistance protein N-like, with no coding region annotated. The transcript is spliced from 3 exons. NCBI's taxonomy places the organism in Eukaryota, Viridiplantae, Streptophyta, Magnoliopsida, Fagales, Fagaceae. The record is from RefSeq and is a predicted model, not a curated record.
UUAAAAAAAAGGAGUCGUUGACCAACUUCUCUCCCUGACUUUGCAUUACUUUUUUUAACUGGCAAUUGCAGAAUAGAAGCUGAAUCUCGCAUUGUUCCUGCUGCAAGUUCACGAGGCUUUUGAGCUUUACAGUCACUGCUGCAAGUUCCUACAUUUCGUACUUUCAAAGGCUUUUAUAGGUACCAAAAGUUCGUCUUCAUUUACUCCACAAUGGAACUACGAUGUCUUCCUCAGCUUUAGGGAUGAGGAUACUCGAAAGAGUGUUACAGACCAUUUAUAUUCUGCGUUAAGACAAAAGGGUAUUUUCACCUUUAAAGACGAUGAAAAACUUGAAAGAGGAAAACUUAUUUCUUUAGAACUCUAGAAAGCAAUAGAAGGAUCAAAGGUUGCUAUUGUCAUUCUCUCCAAAAAUUAUGCAUCUUCUACGUGGUGUUUGGAUGAGGUUACAAAUCAUUGAAUGCGUGAAAGAGAUAGGAUUGACUGUUUUGCCAAUUUUUUACGAUGUGGAUCCAGUUGAUGUAAGGAAGCAGAUAGAGCUUUUUGCACAAGCCUUUGUUGAACAUAAAGAACAAUUUGAGGAAAACAUAAAGAAGGUGCAAAUAUGGAGAGUAGCUUUGAGAGAAGUGGCUGAUAUAUCGGGUUAUCAUUUGAUGGACAAGCAAUUAAUUUUACAUAUUUCUUUCUUUUCAACAUUCAUACUCACUCUUCUUAUUAUAUGUUGCCUUGUUUUGAACCUUAAGCAUAGCCAUAUACAAGUCGGUAAUUCUUUCAAGUUUAUUUAUGAGCUAAGCAAUUUACGUAUUUCUGUAUUUGACAUGAGAUGUCUGCUCUUGUUAUUUACUUUUAUUUCUAGACAUAUCAUGUAUUGUUCAUUUUUCAUUGUAGGUGUGAGUCAAAAUUUAUUCAAGAUAUUGUGGGGGUGAUUUCUCAUAAAUUGAGUUAUGCAUCUACAUAUGCCAAGAACUUAGUAGGAAUAAAUUCUCGAGUUGAAGAACUGAAGUUGCAUUUAGCUAUUGGGUCAAACGAUGUUUGCAUUAUUGGGAUUUGGGGGAUGGGUGGAAUGGGUAAGACAUAUCUUGCUAGAGUUGUUUAUGAUAUGGUCUCUAAUAAAUUUGAAGGUGGUUCUUUUAUCGCUAAUGUUAGGGAAAUUUGUGAAAAAGAUGGUUUACUUCCAUUAUAGCAAAAACUUAUUCAUCAAAUUUUGAAGGAAGAAAAUAUGAAGAUACAGGAUAUUGAUGGUGGAAUUCUUAUAAUCAAGAAUAGGUUAUGUAAUAGAAGCAUUUUCCUUGUUCUUGAUGAUAUAAAUCAAUUAGACCUAUUAAACAAUUUAGUUGGGGGACAUGAUUGGUUUGGUCCAUGUAGUAGAGUUAUCAUAACAACAAUAGAUAAACAUUUGCUAAAAACACUUGAAGUAGAUGAAAUAUAUGAGGUUGAAGGAUUGAAUGAUGGUGAAGCUCUUCAUCUUCUAAGUUUAAAAGCUUUUAAACAAAACCAUCCUCCUCAAGAUUAUUUAGAGUUGUCCAAACAAGUUGUUCAUUAUGCUUAUGGUCUUCCUUUAGCUAUUGAGACUCUUGGUUCCUUUUUGUUCAAUAGAAGAAAUGAUGAAUGGAAAAGUGCAUUGAAUAGGCUCAAGGACUAUCCUAAAAGAAAAAUUCUUGAAAUACUUCAAAUAAGUUUUGAUGGAUUACAUGAAACAGAGAAGGAAAUAUUCUAGCAUAUUGCAUGUUUCUUUAAUUUGCAACCUAUGUAGUAGAAAUACUAGAUUGUCUUGGCCUUUACCCUGAUAUUGGAUUAAGGGUUCUCAUUGAAAAAUCUCUCUUAAAGAUUUAUCACAAUAAAUUGUUGAUGCAUGAUUUAUUACAAGACAUGGGCCAGGAUAUAGUUCGUCAAGAGUGCCCUAAAAUGCCAAGAAAGCGUAGCAGGCUAUGGCAAUAUAAGGACAUUAACCAUCUGUUAACAGAAAAUAAGGUAAAAGUUUAUUUAACAAAUUUUAUAGGAUAUAAUAUAUCAAUAAUAUUCAACAUAGUUUGAAUUUGAAUGGUUACGCUCAUCAUAUGUUGUGAUUGCUAAUCCAUUUUUUUCUUAAUUAUUAGGGAAUAGAAGUAGUUUAGGGACUAGUUUCAAACUUUCCUAUACCAAAAGAGGUACAUUGAAACCUAGAAGCCCUAUCAAAUAUGCCUCAACUUAAAUUGCUCAUAAUUUGAAAGGUUCACCUUUUGCGUGGCUCCAAACAUCUUUCUAACAAGUUAAGGUUCCUUGAUUGGAGUGGGUACCCUUCAAAAUCGUUGCCUUCAAGUUUCCAACCAAUGGAACUUGUUGAUCUUCGCAUGUGCUACAGUAACAUUGAACAACUUUGGAAAGGAAUAAAGGUAAGAUUGUUACGUAAGUACCCUCAUCCCUCAUACAUAAUUGUUUGUAUUUAUAAAUAAAUUAUUAGGUUUAUUGAAGCUAAACCUUUUUUUUUACAUAGUGUUUUGACAGUUUGAAGUUCAUCAAAUUGAAUCAUUCUCAAAAUUUGAUUGUAACUCCUGACAUCACUAGAGUCCCAAAUCUUGAGAAAUUGAUUGUUGAAGGUUGUACAACUUUUUGUGAGGUUCAUUCAUCAAUUGGAGUUCAUAAAAGGCUUAUCCUUCUUAAUUUGAAAGGUUGCAAAAGCCUUUGUAAUCUUCCAUGCAAGUAUGAAAUGGAGUCUCUUGACAUUCUUAUUUUUUCUAGAUGUUCAAAAAUCAAGAAUAUUCCAACAUUUGCGGGAAACAUGAAAUGCUUAUCCAAGCUUUAUAUGGAUGGAACUACUAUUACAAAACUACCCAUGUCAAUUGAGCACUUGACUAGCCUUAAAUCAUUGAGUUUAAAAGAUUGCAAAAAUCUUGUGUGCAUUCCUAGCAUCAUAUGCAAUUUUAAGUUGCUCAUGGAUCUUGAUAUUUUAGGAUGCUUAAGACUUGAAAAGCUACCAGAAAACUUGGGGAAAGCCAAAGGUUUAGAGGAGCUUCAUGUGAGUGGAACUGCAAUAAAGAAAUCACCUUCUUCCAUUGUUCUCUUAGAAAAACUUGAAGUACUAUCUUUUUGUGGAUGUAAAGGGCCAUUGUCUAAAUUAUGGAAUAAAGCCCUAAGUUUUGAUUUAAAGUCAAGAAAAAGUCUAGAUCUUGGGGGCUUGCCAGUGCCUUCUUUGUCAAGUUUGUCUUCUUUGAAAACACAGGAUCUAAGCGAUUGCAAAGUUCAAGCAAUUAGCUUGGCUGCCUAUCCUCUUUACAAGUACUAGAUCUAAGCAAAAAUGAUUUUGAGUUCAUUUCGGAAAGCAUCAUUCAACUAUCAAAUCUUAAAGAACUCUACCUGUUGAAUUGCACUAGUCUCCGUUCAUUGCCAAAGCUUCCUUCGAGUAUUCGUUAUUAUUUGGUAACUGGUUCUUCCUCAUUGGAAAGAUUACCGGAUCGACCAAUGCCAAAAGCUUCACUUGAGUUAUCUCUUAGUCUUUCAUGAUUGCUUUAAAUUGCUUGACAUUGAAGCCCACAAUGAAGAUUCAUUUAAAAUUCUGGGGAGGGCUAGUCGGGAAAUUUGUAUUCAUGAUUCGAAUGUAGGUAAGAUUGAUCUUGUUAUUCCUGGAAGUGAAAUUCCAAAAUGGUCUAGGCAUCAAACUGUUAGCAUAACCAGUAAAGAUAAAAUCAAGUUUGUUAGAGAUGAUAAUCAGGCUAAGAUUGUAUCCAACACCAGAUUGCAGUCCGUACCAGUAGAUUAGUAUUAUGCUAGAUAGGUGUAAUCAUGAUUGUAAAGUUUAUCUUUAUCUUUUCCUUUUACUUGUAAUUAUCACAUUCUUUAGUGAUAUUUAUCACUUGUAUAUUGA